AUUGAACGCUGGCGGCAGGCCUAACACAUGCAAGUCGAACGGCAGCGGGGGAUAGCUUGCUAUCCUGCCGGCGAGUGGCGGACGGGUGAGUAAUGCAUGGGGAGCUGCCCAGUCGAGGGGGAUAACAACUGGAAACGGUUGCUAAUACCGCAUACGCCCUGAGGGGGAAAGGUGGGGAACUUCGGUCCUACCGCGAUUGGAUGCGCCCAUGUGGGAUUAGCUAGUUGGGGAGGUAACGGCUCACCAAGGCGACGAGCUCUAGCUGGUCUGAGAGGAUGACCAGCCACACUGGAACUGAGACACGGUCCAGACUCCUACGGGAGGCAGCAGUGGGGAAUAUUGCACAAUGGGGGAAACCCUGAUGCAGCCAUGCCGCGUGUGUGAAGAAGGCCUUCGGGUUGUAAAGCACUUUCAGUCAGGAGGAAGGGGUGAUGGCUAAUAUCCAUCAUCAUUGACGUUACUGACAGAAGAAGCACCGGCUAACUCCGUGCCAGCCGCCGCAGUAA
RNAcentral lists this ribosomal RNA (506 nucleotides) under uncultured bacterium. RNAcentral's name for it is "partial 16S ribosomal RNA". It matches the Rfam family "Bacterial small subunit ribosomal RNA", at positions 29 to 523 of the family's 1533-position model. The record is from RNAcentral.